CUGCCCGAUAGAGGGGGAUAACUACUGGAAACGGUAGCUAAUACCGCAUAAUCUCUCAGGAGCAAAGCAGGGGAACUUCGGUCCUUGCGCUAUCGGAUGAACCCAUAUGGGAUUAGCUAGUUGGUGAGGUAACGGCCCACCAAGGCAGUGAUAGGUAGCCGGCCUGAGAGGGUGAACGGCCACAAGGGGACUGAGACACGGCCCUUACUCCUACGGGAGGCAGCAGUGGGGAAUAUUGGACAAUGGACCAAAAGUCUGAUCCAGCAAUUCUGUGUGCACGAUGAAGUUUUUCGGAAUGUAAAGUGCUUUCAGUUGGGAAGAAGUCAGUGACGGUACCAACAGAAGAAGCGACGGCUAAAUACGUGCCAGCAGCCGCGGUAAUACGUAUGUCGCAAGCGUUAUCCGGAUUUAUUGGGCGUAAAGCGCGUCUAGGCGGCUUAGUAAGUCUGAUGUGAAAAUGCGGGGCUCAACCCCGUAUUGCGUUGGAAACUGCUAAACUAGAGUACUGGAGAGGUAGGCGGAACUACAAGUGUAGAGGUGAAAUUCGUAGAUAUUUGUAGGAAUGCCGAUGGGGAAGCCAGCCUACUGGACAGAUACUGACGCUAAAGCGCGAAAGCGUGGGUAGCAAACAGGAUUAGAUACCCUGGUAGUCCACGCCGUAAACGAUGAUUACUAGGUGUUGGGGGU
RNAcentral lists this ribosomal RNA (687 nucleotides) under uncultured bacterium. RNAcentral's name for it is "bacterial SSU rRNA". It matches the Rfam family "Bacterial small subunit ribosomal RNA", at positions 126 to 830 of the family's 1533-position model. The record is from RNAcentral.